This 913-nucleotide ribosomal RNA is filed under the name uncultured archaeon. RNAcentral describes it as "bacterial SSU rRNA". It matches the Rfam family "Archaeal small subunit ribosomal RNA", at positions 1 to 921 of the family's 1478-position model. The record is from RNAcentral.
UUCCGGUUGAUCCUGCCGGACCUGACUGCUAUCGGAUUGAUACUAAGCCAUGCGAGUCUUUGUAGCAAUACAAGGCAUACGGCUCAGUAACGCGUAGUCAACCUAACCUAUGGACGGGAAUAACCUCGGGAAACUGAGAAUAAUGCCCGAUAGAACACUAUACCUGGAAUGGUUUGUGUUCCAAAUGAUUUAUCGCCGUAGGAUGGGACUGCGGCCUAUCAGUUUGUUGGUGAGGUAAUGGCCCACCAAGACUAUUACAGGUACGGGCUCUGAGAGGAGUAGCCCGGAGAUGGGUACUGAGACACGGACCCAGGCCCUAUGGGGCGCAGCAGGCGAGAAAACUUUGCAAUGUGCGAAAGCACGACAAGGUUAAUCCGAGUGGUUUCUGCUAAAGGAACCUUUUGUUAGUCAUAGAACCACUAACGAAUAAGGGGUGGGCAAGUUCUGGUGUCAGCCGCCGCGGUAAAACCAGCACCUCAAGUGGUCAGGAUGAUUAUUGGGCCUAAAGCAUCCGUAGCCGGCUCUGUAAGUUUUCGGUUAAAUCUGUACGCUCAACGUACAGGCUGCCGGGAAUACUGCAGAGCUAGGGAGUGGGAGAGGUAGACGGUACUCGGUAGGAAGUGGUAAAAUGCUUUGAUCUAUCGAUGACCACCUGUGSCGAAGGCGGUCUACCAGAACACGUCCGACGGUGAGGGAUGAAAGCUGGGGGAGCAAACCGGAUUAGAUACCCGGGUAGUCCCAGCUGUAAACUAUGCAAACUCAGCGAUGCAUUGGCUUGUGGCCAAUGCAGUGCUGCAGGGAAGCCGUUAAGUUUGCCGCCUGGGAAGUACGUACGCAAGUAUGAAACUUAAAGGAAUUGGCGGGGGAGCACCACAAGGGGUGAAGCCCGCGGUUCAAUUGGAGUCAACGCCGG